This 391-nucleotide long non-coding RNA is filed under the name Homo sapiens (human). RNAcentral's name for it is "non-protein coding lnc-IRF2BP2-8:1". Lineage: Eukaryota; Metazoa; Chordata; Mammalia; Primates; Hominidae. The record is from RNAcentral.
AGGAUGAAUUAGUGUCCAAGUCCAAAAAACGCUACUAUGUGAAUUCUCUACAGCACAGAGUGAAAAACCGAGUGUGGCAGACUCUGCUGGUACUUUUCCCUAGACUUGACCAGAAUUUCUUGAAUGGAAUUAUUGACAGGAUUUUCCAGGCUGGUUUCACCAACAAUCAAGCAUCCAUAAAAUAUUUUAUAGAAUGGAUUAUUAUAUUGAUUCUUCAUAAAUUCCCUCAAUUUCUUCCAAAGUUCUGGGAUUGUUUUUCUUAUGGUGAAGAAAAUCUUAAAACAAGCAUUUGUACGUUUUUAGCAGUUUUAUCACAUUUAGACAUUAUUACUCAAAAUAUUCCAGAAAAGGUAAGUUUGUUUGUAAGAAUUUAAACUUGACUGUAAAAAAA